This 243-nucleotide unclassified non-coding RNA is filed under the name uncultured fungus. Its description in RNAcentral is "sequence contains ITS1, 5.8S rRNA gene". The stretch from base 195 to 243 matches the Rfam family "5.8S ribosomal RNA", at positions 1 to 49 of the family's 154-position model. Lineage: Eukaryota; Fungi. The record is from RNAcentral.
UUUCCGUAGGUGAACCUGCGGAAGGAUCAUUAGUGAAUUUUAGGGUGCUCUACUUCGCGUAGAGGCCUGACCUCCACUUUCUAACCCUGUGCACUAUUUGGCUUGCGAGAACGAAGAGCUUCGGCUUGGACAUUUGAGCGAGCGGCUUCAUUUUAAACACUAGUUAAAGAAUGUAACCAAAAACAAAACUAAAAAACUUUCAACAACGGAUCUCUUGGCUCUCGCAUCGAUGAAGAACGCAGC